This 30-nucleotide non-coding RNA is filed under the name Homo sapiens (human). Lineage: Eukaryota; Metazoa; Chordata; Mammalia; Primates; Hominidae. The record is from RNAcentral.
UCAGGACUUGUGGACCCCAGGUGUUCUGGC